This 313-nucleotide unclassified non-coding RNA is filed under the name Inonotus sp. Its description in RNAcentral is "partial contains 5.8S ribosomal RNA, internal transcribed spacer 2, and large subunit ribosomal RNA". Lineage: Eukaryota; Fungi; Basidiomycota; Agaricomycetes; Hymenochaetales; Hymenochaetaceae. The record is from RNAcentral.
CGCACCUUGCGCCCCUUGGUAUUCCGAGGGGCAUGCCUGUUUGAGUGUCAUGUUAAUCUCAAACCACUUGUCUUUUUUUCUAUUGAAAGGCUCGAGGUUUGGACUUGGAGGCUUUGCUGGCGCCAUUUUGAGUCGGCUCCUCUUAAACUCAUUAGCUGGACUUUGGUUCGCGUUUACGGUGUAAUAGUUAAUUCUUUCGCCAAAGCGCUUGCCUAACGGGUCUGCUUCUAACGGUCUGCGUAGUCGGACAAGGGAAACAACCCUUCUUGACACCUUUGACCUCAAAUCAGGUAGGACUACCCGCUGAACUUAA